UACAGAGGGUGCGAGCGUUAAUCGGACUUACUGGGCGUAAAGGGUGCGUAGGCGGGGAUAUAAGUUAGUUGUGAAAGACCUGGGCUUAACCGAGUGAUAGCAAUUAAGACUGUAUUUCUUGAGUUGAGUAGAGGGGAGCGGAAUUUCCGGUGUAGCGGUGAAAUGCGUAGAUAUCGGAAGGAACACCUGUUGCGAAGGCGGCUCUCUGGACUCAAACUGACGCUGAGGCACGAAAGCGUGGGUAGCGAACAGGAUUAGAUACCCCGGUAGUCCUGGCCCUAAACGAUGAGUGCUUGGUGUGGCGGGUAUCGAUCCCUGCCGUGCCGAAGCUAACGCAUUAAGCACUCCGCCUGGGGAGUACGGUCGCAAGGCUGAA
This 376-nucleotide ribosomal RNA is filed under the name uncultured bacterium. RNAcentral describes it as "bacterial SSU rRNA". It matches the Rfam family "Bacterial small subunit ribosomal RNA", at positions 524 to 898 of the family's 1533-position model. The record is from RNAcentral.